RNAcentral lists this ribosomal RNA (747 nucleotides) under uncultured bacterium. RNAcentral's name for it is "bacterial SSU rRNA". It matches the Rfam family "Bacterial small subunit ribosomal RNA", at positions 95 to 820 of the family's 1533-position model. The record is from RNAcentral.
GCGGCAAAAGGGUGAGUAAUACAUGGGUGAUGUGCCCUUGACUCCGGCAUAGCUUCGGGAAACUGAAGGUAAUUCCGGAUAGUCCUACUGGAUUUCAUGGUCUUGUAGGUAAAGGUGGGGAUCCUUCGGGACCCACAGGUCAGGGAGCGGCUCAUGCGCUAUCAGCUUGUUGGUGAGGUAACGGCUCACCAAGGCUACGACGGCUAGGCGGUCUGAGAGGAUGACCGCCCACAUCGGGACUGAGACACUGCCCGGACUCCUACGGGAGGCUGCAGUCGAGAAUCAUCCGCAAUGGGCGAAAGCCUGACGGUGCGACGCCGCGUGAGGGACGAAGGCUCUAGGGUUGUAAACCUCUUUCGCCUGUUAAGAAUGUGCUGGUGUUAAUAGCACUAGUGCUGACAAAGGCAGGUAAAGAAGCACCGGCUAACUCCGUGCCAGCAGCCGCGGUAAGACGGAGGGUGCAAGCGUUACUCGGAAUUACUGGGCGUAAAGGGUCCGUAGGCGGCCUGGAAAGUUGGAUGUGAAAUCCCACAGCUUAACUGUGGAACUGCGUCCAAAACUAUCAGGCUAGAGGAUGGUAGGGGACAGUGGAACUCAAGGUGGAGCGGUGAAAUGCGUAGGGAUCUUGAGGAACGCCGGUGGCGAAAGCGACUGUCUGGGCCAUUCCUGACGCUGAGGGACGAAAGCUAGGGGAGCGAACGGGAUUAGGUACCCCGGUAGUCCUAGCUGUAAACGAUGACCACUAGG